Molecule: long non-coding RNA, 1812 nt
Organism: Sceloporus undulatus (fence lizard)
Lineage: Eukaryota; Metazoa; Chordata; Lepidosauria; Squamata; Phrynosomatidae
Exons: 5
Source: RefSeq, a predicted model, not a curated record
CAAAAGCUCAAACAGGAAAGCAGCCUCCCUGACCUAAAUCAAUACCAGCCCUUUUGGAUGGAUGCAGGGUAGCAGUCAACCAGCAGUGACACAACCAGCCAUCAAGUGGAGAAUCUCUGGGAUUGCAAUCUAUUUCAGUAUCAGCCUGUGAACACUCCACUUUUGUUACCCAAAUGCUGCUGGUGGCUUUUCCCCCAAAAACAUUUUGUUCCCAUAAGCAGCAAUUUGGGUCUCUUAAGUGUACAUUUGUGUGGAUUAGCCUGUCGCAAGAGUAGUGCUCGUCCGCGUCAUGUUGGAAACAAGGGCACUGAAGUCUGCCUGCUUUUACAGUUGUUUCUUUCUGCGUGAUGCUAUGCAGCUAGAAGGGGUUAUACUGACAACAAAGGAAGAAGCACAAAACACCACUAUCUUCUGGGUUGUUCUUUCAGGGGGGAAAAAAGACAGAACUCUUCUUCAGUGCAAUAUGAUCUUUUUGUCUUUUGCUCUUUCUUUUUGUCUUUGUCUUUUUAAAAAACACCUAUUCAAAGAUUCUGAGAGGCAUCGCUGUGGAUGUGGGCUUUUAAAAGGCUAUAGGGGAAAAGACAGCUCAUGGAGAUCUGCGAUUUGAGCCAAGGAACACAUCUUUUGCAUUCUUGCUGAUUUGAAAUACUCAGGGGUUUUCUCCCCCCGAAGAGGAAGCCCUAAGGGACAAGUUCAGUAACUAAAAAAGCGACCAUAGAUAAAAGAAAUAAAAAUGACAAGCGUAAUGGAGGCUCAGCAGAAGAAACUGUCAGAGAAAUCAGUGCUUGGAUGGCAAUCUUACCCAGUCUGAAUAAUUAUGAAUAAUUCAUAGAACAAAAUUACUCUGCUUUCACCUUUUCCACUUAAAAUGGCAUGAUGUGAAUCGCUAAUAAAUUUACAAGAUAAAAUAUGAUGCCAAUUUGAAUUUGAAGAGCUUUUUGCAGCCAGAUGCUACAUUCUGCUUUUUUUAUACCUUUCACAAUUAUCCUGUGAAAACCUCACUUCAUCACGAAACACCAUUACCGAUGAAAAUUACUGUGAUUACAAUGGCAACAAUAGAAUGCCAUCAAACAAUUUCUAAUUUACCUAAUUUACAAAGGAUGACUGCACUGGUUUUCAUGCCCAGGUCUCCUCGUCAUGCCUGGCACCUUGGAUCCAUAUCAGAAAGAAACGCAAGUGGCUUGGUAAUGUGGAUCGUGUUCAGCACCGUUAACUUCAAGAGCCCAGGAAAAAAUGAGCAGUCUGUUAAUCAUGGUUAUAGCCAUAUAUGUUACAGGCUUGUUUUCCAGCAUUCUUGAUGGUUUUUGUUUAGCUCCUGGGCAUAGGAUGGCACUCUGUUACAGGGUCAUCUGCUUUGAAGUUGAAAAAGCUUUUCUCUGCCACUGACACUUAGUUCAGUCAGAAAAUGGGUGCGGUUUCGAAAGCUGAAUGAUAACCUUCCACACCACCAAAAUCUCUGCUCAAAAGACUUUCCCAGUCAGCCCCUUCCAGUAGAUUGAAAUAUGGUUGUGGGAGAGCCCAUAGACUCUUGCAGGAUAUGAUCUCUGUCCAUCCUCCAGUCUUCCAGGAAACCCUAGAGGAGGAAAGAAGGGGAAAGUCCAAACCCAGACUUGAAAGCCAACGGCAAAUACCAUCCAGAAGAGUCAGAGUUUUGAUGAGCUCUUGCAACUCUAGCAGAGAGAUGCCUAAACAUGGUUUCAGUAAGAACUACUUGAAAGCUCUUCUGUCUAGAAAACUGAGAAGCAUCUGAAAAAGCCAAUGUGACUGCACAACAAACUCAAGGAAGAAGUGAAAAGAAAAAGGAGGAACAGG